Molecule: long non-coding RNA, 334 nt
Filed under: Androctonus crassicauda
Lineage: Eukaryota; Metazoa; Arthropoda; Arachnida; Scorpiones; Buthidae
Source: RNAcentral
UGGUGGAGAAAGCAUUGGCCUAUGAUGCCCCCCAAACCCCCUGUUCUGAUGUGCCUUUCGCACCCCUCCCAUUAGGACAAUCAGUCCCCUCCCACUUGGGCCUCCUCUUUUCUUUUUCCUAGCCCUUCUCGGUACCCAACCUACCUGUCCAGGGGUGCCCCUUGCUCUCCUGCCCACCCCUAGCGGCCAUCCAGGCUGGUUUUGUAAGAUGCUGGGUUGGUGCACAGUCAUUUUUUUUUCCUUGUAAUUUAAACAGGCCUGGCAUUGUUGGUUCUAUUUAAUGGACACGAGAUAAUGUUAGAGGUUUUAAAGUGAUUAAACGUGCAGACUAUGC